AGGAGGAGAAGGAGAAGGAGAAGGAGAAGGAGAAGGAGAAGGAGAAAGAAGGAGAAGAAGAAGGCGGCCCUGGAGUGAAGGGGGUAGCAAGGGUAGAGGCAGGAAAACUGAUGAAGCCACUUCAGGGACAUGGUGUUUGGUCCACCCAGGACCCCAACAAAGGCUGGGACACUCAUUGGAAUGAAUUCUGGACAUCCUGUUGUCUUUCAUCUUUAUUCCUGGAUUCAUACCAUUUACUUAACUUAGUUGCCAUUCAAUCUAUCCUUAAAACAUCCACAUCCACAACUACAACUGUCUGUCAGAGCACACUGAUCAGCUCCAAGUACCUGAAUCCCUGUCCAUCUCACUCGGCUGUCCUCCUACCUUUCUCUCAUGUCUUUAGGGUUCCAAGAUACCACCGCACCCCAUUUAUCCUUCUCCUUGGUCCUGCUACUCUUCCUGUUCACUAAGAGGGAUCCCCGCGGAAAAAGCUCUGCCACAACUUCCACCUCCUGGAAGGCAAUCUCUUCUGUGCUCAAGGCUUUCACUCACUCCUGGAAGGUACAAGGAAACAGUAUCCUGAACAGUGCUCUGGGUGAAGAGCUUCAGAUCUCUCCCAGCCCAGGAUUCUGGUGGCGAUGGUGUCCCCAAAGGAAUUGGCAGAGCAGAUCGAUGAUGCCUGCCCUGACCACAUUGCUCACUCUAGAAUAUUCUACAAGAGAAGCAGUGGGAGGGCCACUGGAAUGUGUCAUGGCGCAUACUUCCUUCUGGCCCUACUCCUUGACAGCCACCAGUCUGCAAUGCCAGCUCUCCCUGGGGCCUCCCUGAUGAGGAGGGGGAAGGAGCAGCCUCUGAAGCCCCACCUGCACUCCUCCACCAUCGGCCCCUCUCAGAGCUCCAACUUGGAUUGUCACUCUUCCUGCCUUGUUACCAUGGUCCCACCUAAUAAACUUAACUAUAAACUG
Canis lupus familiaris (dog) is the source of this 944-nucleotide long non-coding RNA. RefSeq lists it as uncharacterized. The record is from RefSeq and is a predicted model, not a curated record. The transcript has 2 exons. NCBI's taxonomy places the organism in Eukaryota, Metazoa, Chordata, Mammalia, Carnivora, Canidae.